UUGACCUCACACUCAUUUUUAUCAGCAGAUUAGUGUGCUUUGAGUACACCACAGUUCUGUAAGUGAAAAAUUAAUUCAUAUUUAUGUGUGUUUCUUUCUCAGUAAGGACUAACUUUAACUGACUUUCUGUCUGUCUGUCUGUCUGUUCUCAACCAAACGGUCAUUCAAGACCUUUUAAAGCAAAAACAUUUCCCGUGCAAGUUUGAAUCUCUCUCAGUAAGGACUUAUUGACUGGCUGUCUGUUCUCGACCAAACGGUCAUUCUUACUCAUAAAAAACUUUUAAAGCACAAGUGUGUCCCGCGCAAGUUUGAAUUUCUCUCAGUAAGGACUGACGGACGGCCAUUCACUCAUAAAACCUUUUAAAGGUUAGCACGAAUGCAUCCAGCAUAAUUUUGGAUCUUUACCAUUGAGGAGACUGGCUGACUGUUCUCAACCAACCAUCAUUCACAAGCAAAAACUUUAAAGGUAAGUAUGAACGUGUCUAGAGCAGUUUUGGAUCUUUACCAUUGAGGAGGUUGACUGACUUUCAUCUACCAACUGUCAUUAACACAACAAAAACUAAAGAAAUGUUACUACAAGUGGACCUAUUCAGUUACUCAUUAUGCUGUGAGUACACCACAAUUUUAUCAGUGAAACAAUAAUGUUUGUUUUUUCUCAAUGCUUGGCAUAGACAAAUGUGACCCUGUGUA
Paramisgurnus dabryanus is the source of this 690-nucleotide long non-coding RNA. RefSeq lists it as uncharacterized. Lineage: Eukaryota; Metazoa; Chordata; Actinopteri; Cypriniformes; Cobitidae. The record is from RefSeq and is a predicted model, not a curated record.